This 651-nucleotide long non-coding RNA is filed under the name Chrysolophus pictus (golden pheasant). RNAcentral's name for it is "lncRNA (ENSCPIG00010001644.1)". The record is from RNAcentral. Lineage: Eukaryota; Metazoa; Chordata; Aves; Galliformes; Phasianidae.
AUAUUUAAUUGUUGCCUUCUUUGGACAGGCACCUCACCACUGCAGCCCUGGCAUCCCCCAAUGCUAUUGGAACGGUGCUGGCAGCACUAGCUCUGACCCGGACACCCGGCCUUGGCUGGGGAAUGGAGUCUCCUCUCUCUGCCCCAUGCCAGAGGAUGUGUCCCAUAGCAGCCAGAGCCUGCCCAGAGCGUGGCACCGCGCUGCUCAGCCAGCAAGGUGCAGCCCAGGAAGCCUGGGAAUCAGCAGCUUGCAUCAAUGCUUGCAUCUCCUGGUGGCCUGCAGACAGAGAAUGGCUCCAAGCAGGAAGGUCGCGAACAGAAAAGCAUCUUUGAAGGCAAAGAAGGCUUCACCCCUCUUCAAAUCAAGGCAACAUCUACAGUGAAAAACCUACGCCACAGCUGUCAGGGCUUCUCUCCAGCAGAUAAUUAAAUUCCAACUUGAUUGCCAUUGUGACAAGUGAGCUCAAGUUUGGUGGUACCAUGCCCGCCAGCCGAACACAGAUGAGAGCCAUCAGCUGCACAGUCAUUAAUGGCUGUGCUGGAAGCAGAGGUGCUGCAAUACUUCAUGGCACUCCCCAGGAGGUGGUCAGCCUCCCAGAGACUGACAAUAGCAGGAGCACAUCUCGAGCUGUGACUGCAUUUCAAUCCGCAU